RNAcentral lists this unclassified non-coding RNA (325 nucleotides) under uncultured fungus. RNAcentral's name for it is "partial contains small subunit ribosomal RNA, internal transcribed spacer 1, and 5.8S ribosomal RNA". The stretch from base 1 to 73 matches the Rfam family "Eukaryotic small subunit ribosomal RNA", at positions 1759 to 1831 of the family's 1831-position model. Lineage: Eukaryota; Fungi. The record is from RNAcentral.
ACAAACUUGGUCAUUUAGAGGAAGUAAAAGUCGUAACAAGGUUUCCGUAGGUGAACCUGCGGAAGGAUCAUUAAAAGAUGUGUGUCGGCACUUAGUCGAACCUAUUCUUUUGUGAAAAUAAUGAUAUAAAUUAUUGUAUUUGGGGAUUAAAAAGGUUUUAGCAAUUUGCUUAGCUUUUUUGCUUAGCUUUUUGCUAGAACGGCCCCAAAUCAAACUUUUAAUAACCACUUAUUUCUUAUUGACUGACUGUUAUUUCAAUAUAAUAAUUGAUAAAAUAACUUUCAACAACGGAUCUCUUGGUUCUCGCAUCGAUGAAGAACGCAGC